This 254-nucleotide ribosomal RNA is filed under the name uncultured bacterium. RNAcentral's name for it is "partial 16S ribosomal RNA". It matches the Rfam family "Bacterial small subunit ribosomal RNA", at positions 524 to 776 of the family's 1533-position model. The record is from RNAcentral.
GACGAAGGAUGCAAGCGUUAUCCGGAUUCAUUGGGUUUAAAGGGAGCGUAGGCGGCCUUGUAAGUCAGUGGUGAAAUCUCUGGGCUUAACCCAGAAAUUGCCAUUGAUACUGCAGGGGCUUGAGUACAGUUGCCGUUGGCGGAAUAUGACAUGUAGUGGUGAAAUACAUAGAGAUGUCAUAGAACACCGAUUGCGAAGGCAGCUAACGAAACUGUAACUGACGCUGAGGCUCGAAAGUGUGGGGAUCAAACAGG